UUGGACCUGAUAUCAGGCAAGAUUACCCGCUGAACU
RNAcentral lists this ribosomal RNA (36 nucleotides) under Phytophthora capsici. RNAcentral describes it as "partial 28S ribosomal RNA". RNAcentral also lists the same sequence under 6 other names. Lineage: Eukaryota; Oomycota; Peronosporomycetes; Peronosporales; Peronosporaceae. The record is from RNAcentral.